Molecule: ribosomal RNA, 1003 nt
Filed under: fungal sp. NIS6
Lineage: Eukaryota; Fungi
Description: eukaryotic LSU rRNA
Rfam family: 5.8S ribosomal RNA (bases 161-314)
Source: RNAcentral
GAAAUGGGGAUACACUCUAUACCCUUUGUGACAUACCUACAUGUUGCUUCGGCGGUCGGCCCCCCGGGCCCCCGGCCCCGCUCACGCGGGGCGUCCGCCGGAGGAUAACCAAACUCUGAUUUAACGACGUUUCUUCUGAGUGGCACAAGCAAAUAAUCAAAACUUUUAACAACGGAUCUCUUGGUUCUGGCAUCGAUGAAGAACGCAGCGAAAUGCGAUAAGUAAUGUGAAUUGCAGAAUUCAGUGAAUCAUCGAAUCUUUGAACGCACAUUGCGCCCGCCAGCAUUCUGGCGGGCAUGCCUGUUCGAGCGUCAUUUCAACCCUCAAGCACUGCUUGGUGUUGGGGCUCUACGGUUGACGUAGGCCCCCAAAACUAGUGGCGGACCCUCUCGGAGCCUCCUUUGCGUAGUAACUUUUGUCUCGCACUGGGAUUCGGAGGGAUUCUAGCCGUUAAACCCCCAAUUUUCUAAAGGUUGACCUCGGAUCAGGUAGGAAUACCCGCUGAACUUAAGCAUAUCAAUAAACGGAGGAAUGAUUUCACUCUAUAACCCUUUGUGAACUACCUACAUGUUGCUUCGGCGGUCGGCCCCCCGGGCCCCCGGCCCCGCUCACGCGGGGCGUCGCCGGAGGAUAACAAACUCUGAUUUACGACGUUUCUUCUGAGGGGCCAGGCAAAUAAUCAAAUUUUUACAACGGAUCUCUUGGUUCGGCAUGAUGAAAAAGAGCGAAAUGCGAAAGUAAGUUAAUGCCAAAUCCUGAAACUCAAUCUUUAAGCAAUUGGGCCGCCGCCAUUUGGGGGGAGCCGGUGUAGCGUAAUACCCCAAGAUGGUGGGGGUUAGGGCUUUCGGUUGACAUAGGCCCCAAACAUAUGGGGGGGACAUCUCGAACCCCGUGGUGUAUGUAACUUUUUCUUCCACCUGGAAUUGUAAGGAUCUGACCCCUUAACCCCCACAUUUUUCAAGAAGAGUUGUAACGCCGCUGCAGAAUGAGAGAUGACGAGGUA